Molecule: long non-coding RNA, 1317 nt
Filed under: Heterocephalus glaber (naked mole-rat)
Lineage: Eukaryota; Metazoa; Chordata; Mammalia; Rodentia; Bathyergidae
Description: lncRNA (ENSHGLG00000044924.1)
Source: RNAcentral
CCGGCGAGCGCGGUGGAACCUGCGCGUGGCCUGGGACCGCCUCAGCUGCCUGUGGGGAUCAAACUCGGGUCGUUGGGUUUGCGAGGCAGGUGCGGUGCCACUGAGGUAAAUCCCCAGCCCAGCACCAUGUUUCACAGUAAAAUGGGGAACUGGGAUAGACAUCUCCUUAUGUCUCAUUGGUAGGGAGCUAGGUCACGUGCCCAUCCUUUGACCAAUCAUUGACAAGGAGAAAUGGCAUCACUGUGAUCCGCGGGAACCAAUCAUAAUUCAUCUUCUGCGUCUGGAUACGUGUGGUGGGGCAAAAUUGGAAUUGGGUCAGGAAGGAGAAAGUUAACUAGUUAGCUAUAGACGUGGGCGCUGCUUGACAAAUCAGCCCCCACGUCUCACUGGCAUAAAUAUAACAGAGGCUGCUUUUUCAUUUAUCUGACAGUCUGAUGAGGGUGUUCAUGGCUGGCAGGUGACUACUUUCACAAGUUGAGGCAGAAACCUGUUUUAUGGCUCAGGCUCCUGCAAGUGUGUCAGCAGGGGAAGAGAGGUCGGAAAAGUCACAUCCAUUUUUAAGUAAGUCUAGGAUCGCACACUUUCUCUCUGUUCAUGUCCCAUUGGUGAGAAUUCAUCACACAGUUCUUCCUCGAUGCUGGACUCCCUGGGAAUUGCAGCUUCUGGCCAGGCAGCAACCUCCAGCAACAACCCUGUGCGUGGGUGUGUGUGUGUGUGUGUGUGUGUGUGUGUGUGUGUGUGUGUGUGUGGCUGUUGGGGAGGAAAUGAACUGAUCUCUUCAGGCCCAUUUUAGGACAUCUUUGCCUUUAAGGAACAUCCAUCCAGCUGUUCCCAGACCUCUUGGCCUGUCUCUUCUCACUGGGUGCUGCCACCUACAAUAGACCACAAAUCUUUUUCUGAAUACUCCUUUUAUUUACUUGCUUAACUUUUGCCCAGGCUGUUCUGUCUAGAAUUUUUUCCUCCAGUUUUCAUCUACUUGAUGAACUCCUAUUCAUCCUUUAAAACCCAAAUUAAAAGUCCCCUCUCUCGUGGAGGCUUUCCCACUACAUUACCGUGGACUGCCUUCAUAUCUUGAAGGCUACUCACCACUGGAUUCCCUACAAUGUUUAGCACACUCUAGGGCCUCAGUUUUUGUACUAAAUGUAAGUACUUCAGGCUGACAGAAAACUCAGAUUGGUUUAAUGGAAUAUACUGAUUCAUAUAAUCGAACUUGACCCAGAGGUAUCAUUAGGCUUGGCUAAAUCCAGGAGCUUACACAUUUUCUUUCUUUCUUUUUUUCCCAUACUGGGGAUGAACUCAGGACCUUGCAUUUGUGAG